GUUUUUGAACUUUUGAAAAUUGUUCUGAUUGUUGACACUAAUCCAUGCCUAUAUAUAAUCUACUGCUGAUGAUCAACUUUCAAUGCAAAUGCUUAUUAUGUGUUUAUGUUUUAACGUUUGAGCUAUAUCUAGGUUCAGAAAUAUUUAACUAUGAUCUUCUAAAGGACUCUAUGAUUAGUGGCAUUUUACUAUAUCUGAUUAUCUGUGCAUGUCUGUAUAACAAUUGGGCAG
This 231-nucleotide unclassified non-coding RNA is filed under the name Hevea brasiliensis (rubber tree). Lineage: Eukaryota; Viridiplantae; Streptophyta; Magnoliopsida; Malpighiales; Euphorbiaceae. The record is from RNAcentral.